UAAAGUCUGGCCUGCCCACUGGGAUCAAACUAAAGGGCCGCGGUAUUUUAACCGUGCGAAGGUAGCAUAGUCACUAGUCUCUUAAUUGGAGGCUUGUAUGAAUGGUUGGACAAGAAGUAAGUUGUCUCAAGUACAAAAAUUGAAUUUGACUUUUAAGUGAAAAGGCUUAAAUAUUUUAAAG
This 181-nucleotide ribosomal RNA is filed under the name Nephrops norvegicus (Norway lobster). RNAcentral describes it as "partial 16S ribosomal RNA". It matches the Rfam family "Archaeal large subunit ribosomal RNA", at positions 1940 to 2143 of the family's 2987-position model. The record is from RNAcentral. Lineage: Eukaryota; Metazoa; Arthropoda; Malacostraca; Decapoda; Nephropidae.